This 332-nucleotide ribosomal RNA is filed under the name uncultured Lachnospiraceae bacterium. Its description in RNAcentral is "partial 16S ribosomal RNA". The record is from RNAcentral. Lineage: Bacteria; Bacillati; Bacillota; Clostridia; Lachnospirales; Lachnospiraceae.
GGAGUUUGGGCCGUGUCUCAGUCCCAAUGUGGCCGGUCACCCUCUCAGGUCGGCUACUGAUCGUCGCCUUGGUGGGCCGUUACCUCACCAACUAGCUAAUCAGACGCGGGUCCAUCCUAUACCACCGGAGUUUUUCACACUGCAUCAUGCGAUGCCGUGCGCUUAUGCGGUAUUAUCAGUCGUUUCCAACUGCUAUCCCCCUGUAUAGGGCAGGUUACCCACGCGUUACUCACCCGUCCGCCACUCAGUCAUCUCUUAUCUUCACCCCGAAGGGAUCCGGCAAGAGAGCUUCGUUCGACUUGCAUGUGUUAAGCACGCCGCCAGCGUUCAUC